RNAcentral lists this ribosomal RNA (301 nucleotides) under uncultured bacterium. RNAcentral's name for it is "partial 16S ribosomal RNA". It matches the Rfam family "Bacterial small subunit ribosomal RNA", at positions 509 to 807 of the family's 1533-position model. The record is from RNAcentral.
CAGCAGCCGCGGUAAUACGAAGGGGGCUAGCGUUGCUCGGAAUGACUGGGCGUAAAGCGUGCGUAGGCGGCUUCUUAAGUCGGAUGUGAAAUCCCUGAGCUUAACUUAGGAAUUGCAUUCGAUACUGGGAAGCUAGAGUAUGGGAGAGGAUGGUAGAAUUCCAGGUGUAGCGGUGAAAUGCGUAGAGAUCUGGAGGAAUACCGAUGGCGAAGGCAGCCAUCUGGCCUAAUACUGACGCUGAGGUACGAAAGCAUGGGGAGCAAACAGGAUUAGAGACCCCAGUAGUCCCUGUCUCUUAUAC